RNAcentral lists this transfer RNA (76 nucleotides) under Lentisphaerota bacterium. Its description in RNAcentral is "Lentisphaerae bacterium tRNA-Gly". It matches the Rfam family "tRNA". From Rfam's summary of the family: Transfer RNA (tRNA) molecules are approximately 80 nucleotides in length. Their secondary structure includes four short double-helical elements and three loops (D, anti-codon, and T loops). The record is from RNAcentral. RNAcentral also lists the same sequence under 1 other name. Lineage: Bacteria; Pseudomonadati; Lentisphaerota.
GCGAGUGUAGCUCAGCUGGUAGAGCAUCACGUUGCCAACGUGAUUGUCGCCGGUUCGAAUCCGGUCACUCGCUCCA